ACGGGGUGCAGCAGGCGCGAAACCUCCGCAAUGCUCGAAAGAGCGACGGGGGGACCCCCAGUGCCGUGGCAUCGCCACGGCUUUUCCGGAGUGUAAAGAGCUCCGGGAAUAAGGGCUGGGCAAGGCCGGUGGCAGCCGCCGCGGUAAUACCGGCGGCCCGAGUGGUGGCCGCUAUUAUUGGGCCUAAAGCGUCCGUAGCCGGGCCAGUAAGUCCCUGGCGAAAUCCCACGGCUCAACCGUGGGGCUUGCUGGGGAUACUGCUGGCCUUGGGACCGGGAGAGGCGGAGGGUACUCCUGGGGUAGGGGUGAAAUCCUAUAAUCCCAGGAGGACCGCCAGUGGCGAAGGCGCUCCGCUAGAACGGGUCCGACGGUGAGGGACGAAGGCCAGGGGAGCGAACCGGAUUAGAUACCCGGGUAGUCCUGGCUGUAAAGGAUGCGGGCUAGGUGUCGGGUGAGCUUCGAGCUCGCCCGGUGCCGAAGGGAAGCCGUUAAGCCCGCCAGCCAUGGGGAA
Molecule: ribosomal RNA, 511 nt
Filed under: uncultured euryarchaeote
Lineage: Archaea; Methanobacteriati; Methanobacteriota
Description: bacterial SSU rRNA
Rfam family: Archaeal small subunit ribosomal RNA
Source: RNAcentral